AACGAACGCUGGCGGCGCGCUUAACACAUGCAGGUCGAACGAGAAGCCGUAGCAAUACGGUUGUAAAGUGGCAAACGGGUGAGUAAUGCGUGGGUAAUCUACCCUAGGGUGGGGAAUAACUCCUCGAAAGGGGAGCUAAUGCCGACAUGUGCAUCACUCUCGCAAGGGAGUGCUGGAAAGCCGUACCGUGGGUGCGGCGCCCAAGGAUGAGCUCGCGUCCUAUCAGCUUGUUGGCGGGGUAACGGCCCACCAAGGCUGCGACGGGUAGCUGGUCUGAGAGGACGACCAGCCACACUGGGCACUGCGACACGGGCCGGACUCCUACGGGAGGCAGCAGUGAGGAAUAUUGCGCAAUGGGCGAAAGCCUGACGCAGCGACGCCGCGUGGGGAUGAAGGCCUUCGGGUUGUAAACCCC
Molecule: ribosomal RNA, 415 nt
Filed under: uncultured bacterium
Lineage: Bacteria
Description: bacterial SSU rRNA
Rfam family: Bacterial small subunit ribosomal RNA
Source: RNAcentral